RNAcentral lists this ribosomal RNA (503 nucleotides) under uncultured bacterium. RNAcentral describes it as "partial 16S ribosomal RNA". It matches the Rfam family "Bacterial small subunit ribosomal RNA", at positions 29 to 507 of the family's 1533-position model. The record is from RNAcentral.
AACGAACGCUGGCGGCGUGCCUAACACCUGCAAGUCGAACGAGCAUGGGGCUUCGGCUCCGAGUACAGUGGCGCACGGGUGAGUACCACAUGGAAAACCUGACUCUAAGAUUGGGAUAACACGUCGACAAAUGGCCUAAUACCGAAUAAGACCACACUUCCCGCGGGAACAGGGGUCAAAGAUAGCCCCUGCUUGCAAGCCAUCACCUCGGACCACGCCUGCGCACCAUUAGCUAGAUGGUAGGGUAAAGGCCUACCAAGGCAAAGAAGGUUAGCUGGUCUGAGAGGAUGAUCAGCCCCACUGGAACUGAGACACGGCCCCGACUCCCACGGGAGGCAGCAGGGGGGGAUAUGGCGCAAUGGGUGAAAGCUUGACGCAGAGACGCCGCGUGAGUGAUGUAGGCCGUCGGGUCGUCAAGAUCUGUCGGGAGGAACGAAUGCUCCUGAGGUUAACAGCCUCGCGAGGUGACGGUACCUUCAAAGGAAGCACCGGCUAACUCGGUG